This 700-nucleotide long non-coding RNA is filed under the name Vulpes vulpes (red fox). Its description in RNAcentral is "lncRNA (ENSVVUG00000013990.1)". The record is from RNAcentral. Lineage: Eukaryota; Metazoa; Chordata; Mammalia; Carnivora; Canidae.
GGACAGUGAGACAUAUGAACAAGCCCAUAUCCAAUGUACAAGGCAGUUCUAAUCAGGAAAAUUCUUUUUUUCAGGAUGUAAAGAGACUGAUGUAAUCAUCUUCCUACUAAGAAGAUACAUGGUCUCUUUCAGGGAUAGUGCUACAUUGAGGGCUAAUGUUUGUUGCUGCUGCCAUCAGGCUGGACAUUCAACAAUAGCUAGAUCAGUCUUGGUAAGAUGAAACCCACACCUCUGGGUUCAUGCAUAGUCUCUCUCUGUCUUUAUGAUGACUCAAUUCAAGGCCCCAAUUUGUGCACAUUAAGCAUCUGAGGAUAGAGGUUGGUUUAUAGGUAUUGAAUAAAUCAUUCUGUCAACCUAGCUAUUUAAAAUCUCUUCUGUAGAUGGAUGGUCUCUGGUGGACCUGAAUCUGUGAUACAUAGAUUCUCACACUUUAUGCCUAUUCUUGCAGCACCAUACUUAUGCAUCUUUCCCAGGCUAGUAAGGAUGAUCUCGUCAAUCAGUGGUGCUGGGCCAACAGCAUAUCUCUAGGUCUGGUGCACAGAACUCAACCAAUAUUUGUUGAACACAUGCUGAAUUGAAGUAGAAUGAAUGCAAAUGGGAUAAAAAGAAAGUUGAAGUGACUAUGUAAAAUCAGACAAAGACUUCACGAAGAGUUUAUGGCCAUGAAUAAAGACAAACAUUAUAUAAUAUAAAGAAGCCA